CCCGCCUGCGCCGCCAUCUUGGGAGAGGCAAGUGGGGCAGCCCUGAGCGCAGAGGCCAUUGGCUCGGCAGGGAGCGGGAGUAUUUCUAGCCUCUUUGUUGUCACCGCAGGGAUCGGUUGAGAGCUCUUGCACGCGGAGCCGACCCCAGGCUGUGAUGCCGUACAGAAGUGUUGGCUGGAGCAGGUGGGGGGUCAAUAUUUGGGGCCUUGCUGGACUGUUUCCCAUGGGAGGAGUAUCUGAAGAUAUGAGUCAGGUCUAUUCUGUGCUGCAAGCCUGUUUAUUUACAAGGGACCCAUGCAUGGUCCUGCUUCCUUGAAUGCAGAAGGAACAGACAACAGCAGGCAGUUUCCUCACUCCCAGUUUCCACGCCUGUCUCUCCAGCUUGUCCUGUGCCCCAAGGAGCUCUCUUCCCUCUUGGACGAUGCUCACAGUGGCUUAUCUUGCCGGCUACUGGCUCACAUGCAGCUGCAACCAAUCAACCGCCCCCCCCAUCUCUUGUUUUUGCAGUCAGUCUCAGGGAAACCCCUCUGCCCACAUGGAAUAGCUCCACUUAUCUUUGCCAUGCAGCCGAUUGCUUUGGGCUGUUGCUUCUCUAAUUUCUGGCUAUCUCACUCCAUAAAGGGGCUUAAUUGCUCCUUCCAUUUUACCUGAAGGAAGCAUGGUUAGGGUGCCCAUCAGCUUGAACUAUUGUCUGUGAUUGUCUGUAGAUCAAAGUCCCCCUUUUAUGGCAGCCAUUCAGACCUUUCAGCAUAACAGAAGUUCCCCUGGGGGAUCCAGGAGAAGAACUCAGGUGAAGUAUCGGAUACCAGGAAAGGAAUUGUGGGAGUUUGUGAAUCUGACCCCUCCAAGUCCCAGAAUUCCAGUAAGUAUCCCACAGAGUCGUGUGAGAGAAGCCCCAGAAUGUAUUGAGCCUGGUGGCAGAACAUUGCACCCUGGGAGAUCUGUGCAGUUAUUUUGGAAUAGCGCAGAGCUGUGUGGCUGCAGUGACUCACAAGGGAAGUCCCCGAAGCUUGGCUUAACCAAAGUAGUGGGGACACAUUGUUUUGGGAGCGUUAUACCGGUAUAAUAACAGCAGAAAAACCUAGAGUGGAAAAACUUUCCCUUGCAGAUAAGCCCUCAGCCCCAUGUGCAGUCUGUGUGCCAGUGAUAUUUCCAGGUGAAACAGAAGACGGUAACACACUGUCUUGCUGGAGAAGCAGUUUAAACUUUUCCUCUGAGCUGAAAGCGUGUGACAUGGUAAGAUCCUCUAGCAAAGGGGCCCUAAGGAAAGAGUCCAGUAGAUGGAGACAUCUGCUCAGCGUGGAAAGCCAAAAUGGUUAGAAAACAGCAGGCACUGACUAGAAUUUGCCCCAGGCUCUGGGGUCUCUCUGCUUGGUGGCCUGGGCUUACUAUGUACUUCUCCUCCUGCUGCGCCGAGAGCCCAGCUGCUGGGGUGGGGUUAGCUGAGGCCCCGGCAGCAGUGGGUCACAGAGUCAACACCCCAUUGAGAUGCAAGGUGCAGUUUACUCCUCUCAGAACAAUGGGCUCAGGCUCUCUGCAGACUCAGGCAGCGUCACUGAGUCAAUUACACAGUCACGUUUUCAAGCUUUUCUUCGCAGACAUGAGGGCUACAAACUAACAACAACAACAAAAAAGCUGAAAUUCUGAUGUCACAGGCAGAGCUGGAUGGGAAACAGUGUUUCCAUCCUGGAAAAGUUUUCAAGAUAUCAGAAGACAAAAUUUCCAUCCCAAACUGGCCCAAAAAAUCAGACUCUCAAAUUUUCACCAGCCAAAAAAAUCGAAAUAAAAGCUCAGGGUGAGUCAAGCAAAACACUCGGUUGAGAUUAGUGAGCAACAUUUUGUUUCAAUUGUGACCAUUUAAAAAAAAAAAAAGACCAUACUUGGCUUAAAUUUUGAAACAAAAAGCCAUUUUAAAUCCAGAUAUUUCCUUUGGAGAAAUCACAAAACAAGUUUUUGACAAUUUUGCAACUUUGUUUUUGUUCAGAAAAAAAUGAGGUGGGGGGGGGUUCGAAAAAUUUAUGAAAACCGAAACUUUGCUCUGAAAAGCUUCAGUUUGGCCAAAUCAGCAUUUUCAGAGGGAAAAAAAAUUCAUCACCAAAUUCUCUACCGCCUGUAGUCAUGGGAGCCAGGUGCCUUAGCCCAGCCCUGCAUCCAAUUUUAAGAUUAAAUUCCCCCCUGUAUAGAAGACCAGGGGCAGGAAGUCAGACCCUCUGCUAUUGUAUCUUUCCCCGCUAGAGGGCCUAAUAGACCUGCUGUCAGCAAAAAGCCUGGAGACUUUCGCUGAGUUUCUUUUGGGGCGGGGGGGAACUAAUCUAAAAAUAAAUUUACACCCACACACACCCCACGCAUCUCCUGCGGCCAAAGUGGUGUGAAAAUUCAGAUCAGACACAUACA
Long non-coding RNA from Dermochelys coriacea (leatherback sea turtle), 2394 nucleotides. RefSeq lists it as uncharacterized. The record is from RefSeq and is a predicted model, not a curated record. The transcript is spliced from 3 exons. NCBI's taxonomy places the organism in Eukaryota, Metazoa, Chordata, Testudines, Dermochelyidae.